Molecule: long non-coding RNA, 1685 nt
Organism: Eriocheir sinensis (Chinese mitten crab)
Lineage: Eukaryota; Metazoa; Arthropoda; Malacostraca; Decapoda; Varunidae
Exons: 2
Source: RefSeq, a predicted model, not a curated record
ACGGCUCGGAUUAGCGGGUUGGUUGUGAUAUCUUUGUUUCCUAGCCUAGCACCACCACCACCACCACUGCCACCACCACCACCACCACCACUUACCACCAUUUGUGUAGGCUGAGUGGCCGAGGCAAGUUUUAGGUCAGCGCCGUGUUCGUAGACUCCAUGCUGUCCUGAAGACCGCAUGAUAUCCCAGACUUUAGGGUUGGUAUUCUUAAGACACUUUCGGUUCUCACAUCAGCUAUUUCUAAAGGUCAAAGAGGGGGUCAGUUGGGUUCUAAUGAGUGUUUCUUCAGGUUCAUGUUACAGAAGAAGCGUCAAACUACCGCCAGGGUCAUACAACCACUCCUGGAAAUGCCCAAAACUCCUAUGAAAGCCUUGUCAAAUGAGUGUUUCUUUAGGUUCACGGUACAGAAGAAGCGUCAAACUACCACCAGGGUCAUACAACCACUCCUGGAAAUGCCCAAAACUCCUAUGAAAGCCUUGUCAAAUGAGUGUUUCUUUAGGUUCACGGUACAGAAGAAGCGUCAAACUACCACCAGGGUCAUACAACCACUCCUGGAAAUGCCCAAAACUCCUAUGAAAGCCUUGUCAAAUGAGUGUUUCUUUAGGUUCAUGGUACAGAAGAAGGGUCAAACUACCACCAGGGUCAUACAACCACUCCUGGAAAUGCCCAAAACUCCUAUGAAAGCCUUGUCAAAUAUUUGUUUCUUUAGGUUCAUGAUACAGAAGAAGGGUCAAACUACCACCAGGGUCAUACAACCACUCCUGGAAAUGCCCAAAACUCCUAUGAAAGCCUUGUCAAAUGAGUGUUUCUUUAGGUUCAUGAUACAGAAGAAGGGUCAAACUACCACCAGGGUCAUACAACCACUCCUGGAAAUGCCCAAAACUCCUAUGAAAGCCUUGUCAAAUAUUUGUUUCUUUAGGUUCAUGGUACAGAAUAAGGGUCAAACUACCACCAGGGUCAUACUCCGGGGGGCAACAUGAGCCAGGCAAGACGGCGCCACUAUAAACACUUGCCUGCGCCACGAACAGGUUGGGGCCGACCACUACCAGAACCUACCAAGAAAGUCUAUCCCAGCCACAGGUGAAAAGUAAAAAAAAUAAAAAAAAAUAAAAAAAAAAAAUAAAAACUUGAAUUUUUGGAGUGUUCAUUAUUUUAUUUAUUGUUUUGUUUUCCUUUCUUCCUCAGGUUUGUUCUCCUUGCGUGAUAUGUGUUUGUCUUUUCUCCUUCCUUCCUUCCUUCACUUUCCUUCUUCAUUCAUACACUUUCCUUCCUUCCUUCCUUCCUUCCUUCACUUUCCUUCUUCAUUCAUUCACUUUCCUUCCUUCCUUCACUUUCCUUCUUCAUUCAUUCACUUUCCUUCCUUCCUUCACUUUCCUUCUUCAUUCAUUCACUUUCCUUCUUCCUUCCUUCAGUUUCCUUCACUUUCCUUCCUUCCUUCCUUCACUUUCCUUCUUCAUUCAUUCCCUUUCCUUCCUUCCUUCCUUCACUUUCCUUCUUCAUUCAUUCCCUUUCCUUCCUUCACUUUCCUUCUUCAUUCAUUCCCUUUCCUUCUUUCCUUCCUUCACUUUCCUUCUUCAUUCAUUCACAUUCCUUCCUUCCUUCCUUCACUUUCCUUCUUCUCUUCCUUAUGUUAUAUUUAUGCUGUUACUUGUUAUCUUCUUCUUCCUUCUUCUCUUCUUCCUUCU